UACGGAGGAUGCGAGCGUUAUCCGGAUUUAUUGGGUCUAAAGGGUGCGUAGGCGGGCUUUUAAGUCAGCGGUAAAAAUUCGGGGCUCAACCCCGUCCGGCCGUUGAAACUGGGGGCCUUGAGUGGGCGAGAAGAAGGCGGAAUGCGUGGUGUAGCGGUGAAAUGCAUAGAUAUCACGCAGAACCCCGAUUGCGAAGGCAGCCUUCCGGCGCCCUACUGACGCUGAGGCACGAAAGUGCGGGGAUCGAACAGG
This 252-nucleotide ribosomal RNA is filed under the name uncultured bacterium. Its description in RNAcentral is "partial 16S ribosomal RNA". It matches the Rfam family "Bacterial small subunit ribosomal RNA", at positions 524 to 776 of the family's 1533-position model. The record is from RNAcentral.